GAUGAACGCUGGCGGCGUGCCUAAUACAUGCAAGUCGAGCGAACAGACGAGGAGCUUGCUCCUCUGACGUUAGCGGCGGACGGGUGAGUAACACGUGGAUAACCUACCUAUAAGACUGGGAUAACUUCGGGAAACCGGAGCUAAUACCGGAUAAUAUAUUGAACCGCAUGGUUCAAUAGUGAAAGACGGUUUUGCUGUCACUUAUAGAUGGAUCCGCGCCGCAUUAGCUAGUUGGUAAGGUAACGGCUUACCAAGGCAACGAUGCGUAGCCGACCUGAGAGGGUGAUCGGCCACACUGGAACUGAGACACGGUCCAGACUCCUACGGGAGGCAGCAGUAGGGAAUCUUCCGCAAUGGGCGAAAGCUUGACGGGGCAACGCCGCGUGAGUGAUGAAGGUCUUCGGAUCGUAAAACUCUGUUAUUAGGGAAGAACAAAUGUGUAAGUAACUAUGCACGUCUUGACGGUACCUAAUCAGAAAGCCACGGCUAACUACGUG
This 497-nucleotide ribosomal RNA is filed under the name uncultured bacterium. RNAcentral describes it as "partial 16S ribosomal RNA". It matches the Rfam family "Bacterial small subunit ribosomal RNA", at positions 28 to 507 of the family's 1533-position model. The record is from RNAcentral.